UGGGGAAUGAUUGCACAAUGGGCGAAAGCCUGAUGCAGCAACGCCGCGUGAGUGAUGAAGGCCUUCGGGUUGUAAAGCUCUGUCUUUUGGGACGAUAAUGACGGUACCAAAGGAGGAAGCCACGGCUAACUACGUGCCAGCAGCCGCGGUAAUACGUAGGUGGCAAGCGUUGUCCGGAUUUACUGGGCGUAAAGGAUGCGUAGGCGGAUUUUUAAGUGAGAUGUGAAAACCCUAGCUUAACUUGGGGACUGCAUUUCAUACUGGAAAUCUAGAGUGCGGGAGAGGAGAAUGGAAUUCCUAGUGUAGCGGUGAAAUGCGUAGAGAUUAGGAAGAACACCAGUGGCGGAGGCGAUUCUCUGGACCGUAACUGACGCUGAGGCAUGAAAGCGUGGGUAGCAAACAGGAUUAGAUACCCUGGUAGUCCACGCCGUAAACGAUGAGUACUAGGUGUAGGAGGUAUCGACCCCUUCUGUGCCGCAGUUAACACAAUAAGUACUCCGCCUGGGAAGUACGAUCGCAAGAUUAAAACUUAAAGG
This 536-nucleotide ribosomal RNA is filed under the name uncultured bacterium. RNAcentral describes it as "partial 16S ribosomal RNA". It matches the Rfam family "Bacterial small subunit ribosomal RNA", at positions 355 to 907 of the family's 1533-position model. The record is from RNAcentral.